CCUAUGGCAGAGCUGGGUAGCUAUGUGUGGAAUGGAUAAGCGCUGAAAGCAUCUAAGCGUGAAGCCCCCUUUAAGAUGAGAUCUCCCAUUCCUUCAAGGAAGUAAGACCCCUGAGAGAUGAUCAGGUAGAUAGGCUAGAAGUGGAAGUGCAGCGAUGUAUGGAGCGGACUAGUACUAAUCGGUCGAGGACUUAACCACAA
Molecule: ribosomal RNA, 200 nt
Filed under: Salmonella enterica subsp. enterica
Lineage: Bacteria; Pseudomonadati; Pseudomonadota; Gammaproteobacteria; Enterobacterales; Enterobacteriaceae
Description: partial 23S ribosomal RNA
Rfam family: Bacterial large subunit ribosomal RNA
Source: RNAcentral